UACGUAGGGUGCAAGCGUUAAUCGGAAUUACUGGGCGUAAAGCGUGCGCAGGCGGCUUUGCAAGACAGAUGUGAAAUCCCCGGGCUUAACCUGGGAACUGCAUUUGUGACUGCAUGGCUGGAGUGCGGCAGAGGGGGAUGGAAUUCCGCGUGUAGCAGUGAAAUGCGUAGAUAUGCGGAGGAACACCGAUGGCGAAGGCAAUCCCCUGGGCCUGCACUGACGCUCUUGCACGAAAGCGUGGGGAGCAAACAGG
RNAcentral lists this ribosomal RNA (253 nucleotides) under uncultured bacterium. RNAcentral describes it as "partial 16S ribosomal RNA". It matches the Rfam family "Bacterial small subunit ribosomal RNA", at positions 524 to 776 of the family's 1533-position model. The record is from RNAcentral.